CAAAAGUAUUUUCUCAGUGUCCGGUAAAAAUAUAAUAAAAGAAAAAAAGCAACACUAACUGCAAAACAUAAGCGCUUUCAUUGUUAAAAAUCUUCAGACGUUUUUUUUAAAAAGUUUUAAGUGCAAAAAGUUCAUUUAAUUGACUACACACCCCUGAAUUUGGUUUAUAGGAGAGAAACUAACGACCCUGUAGCAAUGCAUUUUUAUACUGACGAACAUACAGUUGAGGAUUAUUCUGUAAUAGGUAUCGAAAAAUUGUACAAAGAUGAAACUUUUCCGAAGUGGUGAUAAAUGAAUCAAGUCUGCAUACGAUAGUAUUGAAGGAUAUGGAAUCAACAUUUGGAAAAAUGGCCACUAAAUGUGAACCUUUAAUUAACAAGUGUGUGCAAUAUUGUUGGUUGAUGUGCAUUCAGGAUCCACCGAUGUGUUUAGUUGACUUUGGAAGAGGACUGGAAUUCAAUAGCAACGAGAUGAGGUCUUUUACAAAAUCUGGAAAAUUUGUUACAGAAAAUUCAGAGAAAAUUUGUGGAAGAAAAAAUUAAAUACUUAUAUGCCUUUUGGUAUCAACAAAAGGGAACAUUAUUGUCUUUAGACUACAUUAUUACUAGUUUGUAUAGACAUUUCCUUUAUUUUAUGUCCCGUUAUCUAUACAUUUUUCAUAUUUUACUUGUUUAUGUACUAAUUACGGCUAUCAAUGUGCUUUCUAUAGACUCUCACCUAUAUUUCAUAUGUUUUUGGCGCAAUAUUGUUGUAUGACGUCACUUGCCAGACUGUAUUAACAUUAUGACGUCAUAGUAUAUGUUCUACGUUGUGUUGCUAUAGACAAUAAACACCGACUGAUGAAGACCGGUAACACGGUCGAAAUAUUUGAAA
This is a long non-coding RNA of Magallana angulata, 873 nucleotides long. RefSeq lists it as uncharacterized. NCBI's taxonomy places the organism in Eukaryota, Metazoa, Mollusca, Bivalvia, Ostreida, Ostreidae. The transcript has 2 exons. The record is from RefSeq and is a predicted model, not a curated record.